RNAcentral lists this ribosomal RNA (301 nucleotides) under uncultured bacterium. Its description in RNAcentral is "partial 16S ribosomal RNA". It matches the Rfam family "Bacterial small subunit ribosomal RNA", at positions 509 to 808 of the family's 1533-position model. The record is from RNAcentral.
CAGUCGCCGCGGUAAUACGUAGGUCCCGAGCGUUGUCCGGAUUUAUUGGGCGUAAAGCGCGCGCAGGCGGAUAGGUCAGUCUGUCUUAAAAGUGCGGGGCUCAACCCCGUGAGGGGAUGGAAACUGUAUGCCUUGAGUGCAGGAGAGGAAAGCGGAAUUCCCAGUGUAGCGGUGAAAUGCGUAGAUAUUGGGAGGAACACCAGUGGCGAAGGCGGCUUUUUGGCCUGUAACUGACACUGAGGCGCGAAAGCGUGGGGAGCGAACAGGAUUAGAUACCCCAGUAGUCCCUGUCUCUUAUACA